Molecule: ribosomal RNA, 486 nt
Filed under: uncultured bacterium
Lineage: Bacteria
Description: partial 16S ribosomal RNA
Rfam family: Bacterial small subunit ribosomal RNA
Source: RNAcentral
AUUGAACGCUGGCGGCAUGCCUUACACAUGCAAGUCGAACGGCAGCACGGGUGCUUGCACCUGGUGGCGAGUGGCGAACGGGUGAGUAAUACAUCGGAACAUGUCCUGUAGUGGGGGGUAGCCCGGCGAAAGCCGGAUUAAUACCGCAUACGAUCUACGGAUGAAAGCGGGGGACCUUCGGGCCUCGCGCUAUAGGGUUGGCCGAUAGCUGAUUAGCUAGUUGGUGGGGUAAAGGCCUACCAAGGCGACGAUCAGUAGCUGGUCUGAGAGGACGACCAGCCACACUGGGACUGAGACACGGCCCAGACUCCUACGGGAGGCAGCAGUGGGGAAUUUUGGACAAUGGGCGAAAGCCUGAUCCAGCAAUGCCGCGUGUGUGAAGAAGGCCUUCGGGUUGUAAAGCACUUUUGUCCGGAAAGAAAUCCUUGGCUCUAAUACAGUCGGGGGAUGACGGUACCGGAAGAAUAAGCACCGGCUAACUACGUG